UGGAUGUAGAUCCACAGAUUUUACUCUUUCUGAUCUUUGAGCAAGUUUCCUCUUUAUCUCAAGUCUGAGAGGCAUUUUUGCGGAUCGAUAUGGCUAGAGAUCCAGGUACUCAAAGCUCUGAUGAUAAAGAGAAACAGAUCGAGGGAAGGAAGAUUAGAGGGAAGGGUCUUUGAUUUAUGUAUUAGCAAGACCCCUGUUAAUAUGUGAGGGAAGG
This 214-nucleotide unclassified non-coding RNA is filed under the name Hevea brasiliensis (rubber tree). The record is from RNAcentral. Lineage: Eukaryota; Viridiplantae; Streptophyta; Magnoliopsida; Malpighiales; Euphorbiaceae.